Schistosoma rodhaini is the source of this 45-nucleotide non-coding RNA. The record is from Rfam. NCBI's taxonomy places the organism in Eukaryota, Metazoa, Platyhelminthes, Trematoda, Strigeidida, Schistosomatidae.
AUCCAGCUGACGAGUCCCAAAUAGGACGAAACGCGUGUCCUAGAU